RNAcentral lists this ribosomal RNA (469 nucleotides) under uncultured Alphaproteobacteria bacterium. RNAcentral describes it as "bacterial SSU rRNA". It matches the Rfam family "Bacterial small subunit ribosomal RNA", at positions 9 to 524 of the family's 1533-position model. Lineage: Bacteria; Pseudomonadati; Pseudomonadota; Alphaproteobacteria. The record is from RNAcentral.
GAGUUUGAUCAUGGCUCAGAACGAACGCUGGCGGCAUGCCUAACACAUGCAAGUCGAACGAAGGCUUCGGCCUUAGUGGCGCACGGGUGCGUAACGCGUGGGAAUCUGCCCUUGGGUUCGGAAUAACAGUUAGAAAUGACUGCUAAUACCGAAUGAUGUCGCAAGACCAAAGAUUUAUCGCCCGAGGAUGAGCCCGCGUAGGAUUAGCUAGUUGGUGAGGUAAAAGCUCACCAAGGCGACGAUCCUUAGCUGGUCUGAGAGGAUGAUCAGCCACACUGGGACUGAGACACGGCCCAGACUCCUACGGGAGGCAGCAGUGGGGAAUAUUGGACAAUGGGCGAAAGCCUGAUCCAGCAAUGCCGCGUGAGUGAUGAAGGCCUUAGGGUUGUAAAGCUCUUUUACCCGGGAUGAUAAUGACAGUACCGGGAGAAUAAGCUCCGGCUAACUCCGUGCCAGCCGCCGCUGUAAC